GAUGAAGAACGCAGCGAAAUGCGAUACUUGGUGUGAAUUGCAGAAUCCCGUGAACCAUCGAGUCUUUGAACGCAAGUUGCGCCUCAAGCCAUUAGGUUGAGGGCACGUCUGCCUGGGCGUCACAUAUCGUUGCCUGAUGCCAGUUUCCUCGUGAUGGGUGACUGUGCAGGGCGAAUGAUGGCUUCCCGUGAGCAUUGUUGCCUCAUGGUUGGUUGAAAAUUGAGUCCUUGGUAGGGAGCGCCGUGAUAGAUGGUGGUUGAGUGACGAACGAGACCCAAUCAUGUGAGACCCCUACCGAAUUUGGCCUUCAUGACCCACAUGCGUCUUUGGAACGCUCAUGACGAGACCUCAGGUCAGGCAGGGCUACCCGCUGAGUUUAAGCAUAUCAAUAAGCGGAGGA
This 400-nucleotide unclassified non-coding RNA is filed under the name soil metagenome. RNAcentral's name for it is "partial contains 5.8S ribosomal RNA, internal transcribed spacer 2, and large subunit ribosomal RNA". The stretch from base 1 to 122 matches the Rfam family "5.8S ribosomal RNA", at positions 35 to 154 of the family's 154-position model. The record is from RNAcentral.